RNAcentral lists this long non-coding RNA (476 nucleotides) under Fukomys damarensis (Damara mole-rat). RNAcentral's name for it is "lncRNA (ENSFDAG00000028975.1)". The record is from RNAcentral. Lineage: Eukaryota; Metazoa; Chordata; Mammalia; Rodentia; Bathyergidae.
GGCAGAGCUCCCUGCAGCAGAGAAGCCCGCUUUGGAAAUAUAAAGCAGGCACUUGGCUCCUGCUGCUCGAUGGCCUCGGUGAGGGAUUGGGAAUUGACAGGUGUUAAACUGGCAGAAUUCUCCGUGCCACCAGGAGUUAAAGCUAAAGCCCGCACGAUUGAGAAAUCCGUACAAAUGACUUCCACCCAAGGGCAGGAUACAAAACUUCAGUGGAAGCAAAACCUUACUUAUAGGAACCCAGAAGAAAUGAACAUUCAGGAGCCAGUGUGGACUGCUUUUUUGCUUUGCUUUUUAGCCAGCCACCUUUCAUGAGGUAAUCAUGGAGUAUAAUCAGUUAUAUUUACUGUUGGGAUACUUUACCGGCAAACGCGUGUCUCCCUUCUCACAUACCAGCAAGGCCUGAAGCUGGCCUACCAGUUUUCAAGAGGAACGGUUACGCAAUGGUUAAGAAUCUGGUCACUGAAAUAAAAAUAAUC